CACUCCUUCCUACGUUCUUCUGCUGUGGCUGCCUUGUUUUACCACAUUCUGCGGCCGCGGUCCAUCGCUUGCUCCCCCCUCCUCCCCCCGGUACACUUCCUCGUGCCCCACACCUGCCACCACCGCAGAUACACAUCCGCAGUCAAGCACCGGUGUACGGCACACGUGGGUAUGUCCACGCCGAAUCUCGAUGCCCUCCUUGGUGUUCCACUGGCUGCGGAGCUAGUGGCAAGAGCAGGAGGUCUUUUGGCGCUGUGCAAGCUGAGUGACGCCGCACUUCGCAUGCUGGGCACGGAGGAGUUCCAGAGCAUCGCGAGCAGCUCACGGGCGAAGCAGCUGCACGCAGGCCUGUUGUUGAAAGCUCCACUGUUCACCGACGCCUUUGGAGACGAGGAGGCGGUGGACACGACGGACCUGAAGGCUGCGCAGAAGGGUGCCGCCCAACUGGGACGCAAGUGCGCGCUAGUCGCGAAGGCGGACCUUGCCGGCGCCUUUUCCGAUGGCUCCCUCGGUGAGGCGGAGAAGGAAAAGCUCAACGCCGCCUUCACCCGUCUCCUGGCGGAGGGCAAAGUGACCGCGGAGGACACGCAGGCGCUCGCCGUACCGUUUGUGUACGUCCGCGGCGAUGCAGCGAAGCACAGGCGUGGCGGUGUCAAGGAGCGAAAGAAGCGAGAGUCGCAGCAGGAAUCGGUCAGCGUCGUUGCUAGAGCGACGCAGCGGGUGCGCAUGGGUGUCAGUGAGGAGGAGCAGGUGCAACAGCUGCUGCAGCGAGAAGACAUACGUAGCGAAUUCGCCAAGGAGCGCGCUCAGCAGCUGCUGAAGGAGUCGCGGAAGCGUGCUCGAGAGGCUGUCCAUGAUGAGUACGAUGACCUACAGAACAUUUCCCUCUAGCGCGCCCGAUAGCGUUUGUGCCUGCGGUUAUGCUUGAGCGGGCAGCUGCGGGAUCAUGAGACAUGCCCACGGGGUUUCUGCUGCUGUUGAUUCCUUCCCUUUAUCCUUGGAUCUCUGUGCCGCGCAUAUGAGCCACUGCUGGCCUUUGCAGCUUGCGGCGCUCACGGUAUGACCAGGUUCCCCCCAUCACACCGAGCCGCCCCAUCGCCGCUGCACUCGUUGCGUAGCUCUGGGGCGAGCGAGCGGAUGUGAGGAAUUCCUCAUCCCUCGCACGUAUGCCUGUGCUGACGCGUGUGUGGGCACGCUUACGGAAACCAGGUUUUCAACGCCAAGAUGAGUCAGCAGUCGACUAUUGACAUUGAAAGGACUCGAAAGGGGUGGAAAAGGCUGGCGCCUUGAGGCCGCGACCAGCAAUUCAACAUCACCAAGUGCCGGAGGAGUACCGCCCCCAUCCCCGCAGCUGCGCAUGCUACCACGGUUGCGCCUGCCUCUCGUCUUUUCCUUUCGAACUUUGCUGUCUUUUCUUGCCCUUCGCCUCUCUCUUCUUGCG
This 1441-nucleotide unclassified non-coding RNA is filed under the name Leishmania donovani. RNAcentral's name for it is "gene:LdHU3.16.2060(CDS-product:Putative_snoRNA_bi nding_domain_containing_protein_putative)". Lineage: Eukaryota; Euglenozoa; Kinetoplastea; Trypanosomatida; Trypanosomatidae. The record is from RNAcentral.